Molecule: long non-coding RNA, 563 nt
Organism: Mytilus californianus (California mussel)
Lineage: Eukaryota; Metazoa; Mollusca; Bivalvia; Mytilida; Mytilidae
Exons: 3
Source: RefSeq, a predicted model, not a curated record
UUCUAGUUGAAUGACGUUAGGGCUGGAGGUGCUACGAUUUUCCCUAGAAUCAACACAAGAAUACCGAUAACAAAGGGAUCUGCUGCUUUUUGGUAUAAUAUUCUUCCAAAUGGAGAGGUAGAUGAACGUGUUUUUCAUGGAGGAUGUCCUGUGUUAUUAGGAUCAAAAUGGAUUUGUACCAAGUGGAUCCGUGAAGAAGGGCAAAUGUUCAGACGCCCAUGCAAACUGCACUUCAAUGCGACACUACAUUAGAAAAUAUUUAAAACGUACAUUUGAUGCCUUCUUAUCUUCAAUAGUUUUAUAAUCUAUGGUGAUUUUAAAUAAUACAGAAUAAAGAAAUAAAAAAUCUUGUUCUAUGGAACUUUAGAUCUAAAAAUUGAAUAAAAUACCAUACUUUUUUCGAUGGUUUUUAAAGGCAGUGACUUAAAUGGUAUGAGGCAAUGGCCAUUUCGUUUUUACGUGGUGGCAAAUACAUCAUCAUAGAAAUUUCGAAAAGUUGAUUCUUUUUAUUUGUGAUAUUGUGUGGUAUUUAUUUUUGUAAUUCCUUAAAACUUGGCAUUAAA